This 253-nucleotide ribosomal RNA is filed under the name uncultured bacterium. RNAcentral's name for it is "partial 16S ribosomal RNA". It matches the Rfam family "Bacterial small subunit ribosomal RNA", at positions 524 to 776 of the family's 1533-position model. The record is from RNAcentral.
UACGUAGGUGGCGAGCGUUGUCCGGAAUGACUGGGCGUAAAGGGAGCGUAGGUUGCGAUUUAAGUUAGGUGUGAAAGGUCAAGGCUCAACCUUGGAAGUGCAUUUAAAACUGGAUUGCUAGAGUACAGGAGGGGUAAGCGGAAUUCCUAGUGUAGCGGUGGAAUGCGUAGAUAUUAGGAGGAACACCAGAGGCGAAGGCGGCUUUCUGGACAUUAACUGACGCUGAGGCUCGAAAGCGUGGGGAGCAAACAGG